CUCAGCUCCCUGUGGUGGGGGAUGGCAGAGGCUUCCCGCUCCCCGCAGCUGGUUUGCACAGCCUCCCGACUGUGCCGUGGUGUCUCCUUCCCUAAAGUGGGACAGUCGUUUCUGUGUCCUGCUGGCCUCUGAGGAACAGAUGUGUGUGAGAGGCCUUCAGGGCCUGAUGGCUGGGGUGGUGGCAGUGCCUGGAGAAUGGGUGGGGACUGGAGGGGCCAGGUGGCUAACCACUCUCCUCUUCCAUGGCAGCGGAGCUGGAGUUCGCCCAAAUCAUCAUCAUCGUCGUGGUGGUCACGGUGAUGGUGGUGGUCAUCGUCUGCCUGCUGAACCACUACAAAGUCUCCACGCGGUCCUUCAUCAACCGCCCGAACCAGAGCCGGAGGCGGGAGGACGGGCUGCCGCAGGAAGGGUGCCUGUGGCCUUCAGACAGCUCCGCACCGCGGCUGGGCGCCUCGGAGAUCAUGCAUGCCCCGCGGUCCAGGGACAGGUUCACAGCGCCGUCCUUCAUCCAGAGGGAUCGCUUCAGCCGCUUCCAGCCCACCUACCCCUAUGUGCAGCACGAGAUUGAUCUUCCUCCCACCAUCUCCCUGUCCGACGGUGAAGAGCCACCUCCUUACCAGGGGCCCUGCACCCUGCAGCUCCGGGACCCUGAACAGCAGAUGGAACUCAACCGAGAGUCCGUGAGGGCCCCACCCAACCGAACCAUAUUUGACAGUGAUUUAAUAGACAUUGCUAUGUAUAGCGGGGGUCCAUGCCCACCCAGCAGCAACUCGGGCAUCAGUGCAAGCACCUGCAGCAGUAACGGGAGGAUGGAGGGGCCGCCCCCCACAUACAGCGAGGUGAUGGGCCACCACCCAGGCGCCUCUUUCCUCCAUCACCAGCGCAGCAACGCACACAGGGGCAGCAGACUGCAGUUUCAGCAGAACAAUGCAGAGAGCACAAUAGUACCCAUCAAAGGCAAAGAUAGGAAGCCUGGGAACCUGGUCUGAUUCCUUCCAACGUGCACUUCAGCUGGAGAAAGAAACCAAGAAGGGAAGCGGCCGCUGGGCCCCUCCUGCGCACAGUGUUGUUCAGUUUCACAUGGUACAAAUAAGUAAAACCAAAUGAGCAAACACGGUCUUUGUUUCUGAUUCCUUUUAGGGGAAUUGCAUGCAAACUAGACUGAAAUGAUACAAACUUCCAUCUGGUCUGACCGCAAACAGUGUUUAUUUGGGGACAGGGGUUGGGAUGGGGGUGUGGGCAGGGGAAAACAGAGAACGGGAUGCUUUGAAGAUAUCAUGAAAUAAAACCCACAGAGGUAUUUGAUUUAUUUAAUUGUGAAAGGAGACUUUGCAGAUAAAUGAGGCCAGAAUGGCGUGUUUUAUAAUUAACUGAAUAAAGAAGGAAGCAUUAUUAUAUAUUAUUGUGGGGAAGAACCAGCCAGUUCGCUUUUUCUCCUAAGGUGUGGAACUUUUAUUUUGUUUUAAAAAUACGAAUCAAAAUUCCUGUGUUGUGUGCCAAGGUAUAAAGUGGAGAAGUUAGAUGAGUGCAAGGAGCUCCUUUGUGUUGUGAUGAUGUGUUUUAAAAGUUGCACUAUCUUAAUGUUGAAAAUAUUUACAAGGGAACUGUUUUACGUGAAGUUCUGUAUGUUGUCUUUUCACCUGUGGAUUGUAAUCAGGCCCAAGGAAUAUCCUGGAGUGGUCCCCAGAAGCAUCCAAGAAAAGAUAUUUGGGGACGUAGCCUAACAUUUUACCAACUUACGUAAAUCAAAAAAGUCAUUAUUGUUGCAGGAGUUUGCAUCAAAUAGCAGUGCAUCGCUGAAGCUUUUGGAGACUUUUGGAUGGAAGAUAAGAUAGGGAAGAUUAAGUUCCAGCAUUUCUGACUUGUUAUUUUGAGUUACUCUGCUAAUCUUAGGCUGCAUAGUUUAUGAGAAAAUGAACACAUGCAUUUAUGGAUCCAGUAUCAUGCAGUGCUGCCCUCAUCCUCCAGCAGUGCAAUUUCUUCAGUAAUUUAGAUUUUUUUCACUAUAGCAUGAAAUAUAUUCAAAUACAUACCUUAUUUUAUGCAAUAAAUUGUUUAAAAUGCAAGGUGGUUAUUCUGCAUACUGUUGAAAUAUGUGACUCCUCAGUAUAUUCCCAUUGCCUCUCCCCUUUCCUCGACAGCUUAGUUCAGCUCUGCAGGGCUGCUCAGUUCACAGGAGGCUCCCAGCAGCCACCCCACAUCCAGCCUACACAGAACUUCGUGUGGGAGUGGUGUGGGUGGUGGUUUCUUAUGCUUUGGAAGCCCCUAGAAAUGACGGAAGAAUGCCAUGUUGCUGAUCGUGGUAAUAAGCCAUUGUGGGUUAUUGUAUGUCACUAGUAUUAGCAUAGCAUUCUUAAAGGAAUGCAGUGCUCAAAACCUACCCAAAUUCCCGCAGGAUUCUACCAAACCCUUCCCCAGGCCAGCUUUUGUACUGAAGGCAAGAACUGGACAGUCAGAGAACAGUGGAGGGGGCAAGUGACUGAAGAGCACUGGGUAAAAAGCACAACAUGCAGUUAAAAUGCAACUAGAAAACUAAUUAUAAAUAUUGUUAGUUUUAAUAUUCCUGAUAUUUACAAAUAUUCAUUCUUAUAUACAAUGAAAAAAAUAACUUUCUUCUGCAGAUGUAAGCACUGGCUUUUAUAAGAGCAGCAGCCAACACGUUUAGCAGACACUGCGCGUGGAGAAGGGCUUAUCUGCAGUACACUCUGCCAUGUGGAGGGUGGGCCUCUGUGGCCUCUUCACAUAACAAGAUGAGCUGGAAUGAUGAUUCCAUGACUCCCAUCUAUGCAGCCUUAAAGCCAAAUCCGCGUGUGUGUGUUUGUGUCUGUCUGUGGGUCUCGAAGGUGAUCCGUCGGUGCGGUGGCUCUGUGCUGUAACUGGAGAGACUGUUCCAAACCCCAAGAGUUGUCUGAUCCUAGUCUGUUCCCUUCUGCUUCUUACCUCUGUAGAUAGGUCACUGGUUUUUGUUUGUUCGUUUGUUUUGAGGAUUGGAAUUUCCAUUACAUUCAUCCUUUGCACACAGUAACAUCCACAGAACUAGUCCAACUCUUAAAAGGAGAGAGGAAAAACACAGGCACCAGUUGUCAGCUCAUGCUUACAACCUGUGUUGAAGUAUAUACAGUUGAGAGUCACAGUGGAGGUUCUGAGACUGGAUUCAGUCUUGUUCCAGUGACAGUUGGAAGGCCUCUGCUGGAGAGACACCAGCUCUCAGGGCAGAGAUUGGCUUGGGGCCAGAAGGACCCUCCCCAACCCUGGAGACACCCUGAAGGUUCACUGGCUCUCCAGAUUAGCCUCUCUUCCUCUGUCAGGCAAAGAUGAGGAGCCCGUGUUCCCAUCGGGCCCUGCUGGCAGGGACUUGCAGUGGAUUCUUGGUCAGGUGUGCCCACAGAUGCGGAGGCGAGGUGAGUGAUUCCAUCAUUUCAGUUCUCACCUGCAGUUUUGGUGAAGCAGGAGAUGCACCCCACAGCUCUAGCUCUCAAAUGGCUUCACAGUCCUUACUUCUCUACCUGCCUCAAGAAGGGGCUCAGAGCAGAGACUUGUGAAUUCCUUAGUAACUGUGAGUAUAUGAAUGUUUUGCACAUGUCCACAGUAUUGGCGAGAUAAUUACAUAAUUCAGAUACCUUUAAUCAUCUUUCAAGAAAGAGGCUCCUCCCAUUCAGCCACCCUAGAGAACUGCCUUUGUUAAAUGGUUAUUUAAAGACACACACAUAUCAAACCAUGACUUUGAAAGGUCUUCGAGGCUGGGGCUCUGUAAUGAAUUAGUUUAAAAGCCAAGGUCAUAACAUGAAUUGAUGGUCAAUUUCCCUUCAGCAGAAGGAAAAGGUGAUUUAGAUCAGUAGCUCUUUUGAAGGUUGUGGCUGACCUGUUCAUACCGUGUCGCCUCAUGGCUAGCGUGGCGUUGAAAGAGUAGCGAUUGGGAAGAUACAACUUACACAGUGGGGCCUAUUGUUCUUUCAAGAACCCUUUUUUUAGCUUAUAGAACCCAUGGGUCCAGUUUAGUAACCAGUGAUUUAGGCAAUCAAUGAUAGGUUUAUAAUCUUAGAUUAUUCCAGCAAAGUGUGGAUUGCAUUGUUAGGAAGAACAUUUGGUGGGAAUGAACACUCCUGGGCAUACCGCUGACUUUUGUCCCUUGUUCCCGGUGUAGGAGACCCAAGGCAUCUUGAAUCCCAUCUAUAAGAACACAAUCUUCCAGCAUACAUUUGCUUUUUCAGAAACUCUAGCAUUCUCUUUAAAUACUGAUGCAAUCCUUAAUGGAAAAGAGAUUUCAUGAAGCAAAUUAUGUAUUUCAAUAGUUCAUCUAUUUUUGGUGUCCAAAAUUUACUAAUACAGAAGCUUGACAAGCAUGUCCUCACCCUCCCCACCACAUAAACACAUGGACACACACCCAAGCCACAAGAAAUCCCAAGAGAGCAGAAGCGAAUUUUUAAAAGAUUUAUCGUGAGGACUGCAUUUCCAUUCACUAAUUUUGGCUCAAACUUAUGAGGCAGGAAAUAGGGGCCUCCUGUAAAUGGGGGAGGCCUCCUGACACCAGCAGAGGAAUUUUGUACCCAGGCAAGGACUUCUUGAACUUCUACGUAUCUCCGUUUGCUCUCUUUCACCUUUAUUUCAUCUUCAUAAGAAUGAGAAAGGCUCAAAAGGAAGCACUUUUAGAAAUCUUCUCUGACCUAGAAGAACCCAUCCAAAUCCCUGCCUUCCUCUCUGAACCAACAGUUCCCUUCUCUGACAGGGGCCAUCCUCUGUCUUCCAUCCAGCGGCUCUUCUUUUUAGGAAGGCUCUGGUGCAGAGCACUUCAAAUAUGUCCUCAGGCCAGAUACUGAUUGCUAGUAGAGAGACACCCAGCACCCAGUCCGAAGCCCUCCCUCAAAGGACCGGCUCAUGGCGUUGGUCACUGGCAGGCUCAGAGACAUUCUGCUGUGGGCGCAGGGAGCCCGGCCCCCCACGCAGCCAUGACUGGAUGCGCCCCCAUCUCGGGGGCUUGCUGCACUGCUUGUUUAUUGAAUUUUGCUACUUAGAAUGGCAACAUUAACUUUGUGUACCAUUCAUUUUUUAAAAAUUUUCCAAAGCUCAGCAGUGCAUGAAAGAAAAAACUGGGAAAGAUACUUGGUUUCUGUUAACUUUUGUGUUGCUUGCUUAAGUGAUUAAAGCCAGUGCUUGGAGCCAAGCCUUCAUGCCACGAACAUGCCCCACAGCCUGCCCUUUGCUCUCCUGCUCACACUGACCAAGAAUGCCACGUGCUUGGCCUACUGAGGUGAAAGGACAAUUGAAUGACAGGUGGGCAAAGGGAGAACUUCCCCUUCUUGGUGCAAGGAAAGUCACAAAUUUAAAAAUGUUGCUUCCAGCCCAGAUCCUAAAUGCUAGUUCUCAGCAGCUGCGUGGCUUACCGUUCACCAUUUCCACCACCGCCAGCUGCCAGCACCUCCACAGAUCACAGAGAUGUGAACAGACAAUGGAAAGCACUCUUAGCCUUGCAGUGGUCUACAUUUUUUAGGAACCAAUAUUUCAGCAUUCUUUAUUACCCGGCACGCUGUGUCCUUUGCAGAGUUCAAGUUUAUGUUACUGCCAGGGUCAGACAGUCAUUUGCUGCUGCUGCUGCUGCUGCUUCCCGAACUGGAUGCAUUAGGAAGCUGCUGUCUGAGUGUAGGAAUGUCUUGCUAAGAAAGCAAUGUCUUCCUUCAUCCUUUUCUUUCUUCCCUCUGCGUGUCCUUGUUUUUGUGUAAUGCGGGAGAGGGUUAGAGCUAUAGAGAUUAUAUAUACACUAUCCGUGCACAUUAUAUAUAUGUAGAUAUACCCCUAUCAUGUCAGAGAUCUGCAUGUCAGUUUUUCAGCAACUAAGGUGCCUCAUGUUCUGAGUUCAGCAGAUAUAGGAACCAAGCCGCCCCCUCCUGCACUUGAUGCUCCCACCUUUGUUGUGCCUCACUUAAAAUGGUGCUUUUUUCAGUUGUCUGUCUUUUCUUAUGUUUUUAUUUGUAAGGUGCUGUAUAUAAGUUGAAUAUAUUAUGCACAUAUCCUACCCAAUGGGUAGAACAAAAAGUUGUUAAUACUGUAAUAUAAUGUAUAGAUGAUACCAAUUUUAACAGAAAUGGCAUAGAAUUUGUGAAUGCCUAUGUGCUUUGUCCUCUUUUGUAAGGAAAUUUGCAAAUGGAUGCAUACAGAUUAAAGUCUAUGUAGUUUAUUUUCCUAUUAAAUAUCAAUAUUAUAACACAAGAGAAAGAAGUGUGAACAAACAAGCAACAGUUUAUGACCAGCGUAUAUAUAGCAAUGGCAAGUUGCAUCUUUGCUGUGAAAACACUUUAAAGAAAAUACUUUUUAAAAAAUCCCACAGCUUUUUGGUUGCCACUAGACGCUUUUUAUUUUAAUCAUUUUAGUAAUGCUCAGCUGGACCAGUGUUAGUUAUAUUUGAGUCAGAAAAAUGUUGUUUUUCAACUUGCUUUAUAAUCUCCUGCAUCUAUCUCCUGCUGUAGCAUCACGAAGGUGUCAGGCAACAGUGAAAAGUGCACAUUUUUGUUGUUGCAGAAACUGUGUCAGAGGAAUAAGUAAAUCAGCCUGCAGCAGAGGACUUUGUUCAGCUCCAGAGGCAUCUGUGACCGUCUGUGUCCAAGUCUCUCUGUGCCUUUUUCUUUUACAAACUGAAGCUGUGGAGCCAAUGAAGUAACAGUAGAGAUUGUAGGGAAAGAAUACCUCAGGAAAAACAAAUACACUUAACAAGAAGACCCUGUUCUUAGAAAAAGUGUUUAGUUAUGGGUUAGCACUAGAAGAGACUUGGCUGUCAGCCAGCCAAGUGAAGGACCUCUCAUCCAUUCCCAUUCAUGUCCCAUCAUAAUACGGACUCAAAAAGCAAACUCGGUUUUGCCAUCAGUUAGAAAUUACGUUUUGAAUUGUAUAUUGUUACAUCUCUCUUCCAGCUUAGUUUUUAGUGUCUGAUUGUGACCUCUGCAUUUAUCUUCAAAUACCCUAAUUUUAAAACAAAAGAACAAGAAAAGUUUAUAACACCAUGUUCACUAAAACCACGGUUGAAUCUUGGGUGUGGGCAUCCUUUCGAGUGUUGUCCAUAAGAGCAGUUCGUGGAAUUUUGCCCAUCUGACCCAUAUUAUCAGCUUAUUCUGCCACCAGAGUAGAGUCUAAUAAAUUCCAAAGUUUUUAUUUGCUCCAUGGUGUAUGUUCUGACUUUGAAAAUGUCAGAUUCUAUAAUCAUAUCCCUAACAUCCAGGAAACAAAUGACAGAUUAUCCUUAAACUGAAAUUGACUCUACAAUGCAACCCUUAAUGCUGAAUGGAUUAAAAGUCAGCCCUUUUAGUAUCUGUUUGAAAGGGCCGUAAAAAGUUGACACUCUUGUUGUUGUGGAUCCUGCGUGUCUAGACCCACGUGUUGUUUCCAUCGUAUACUGUAGGGUGCACCCCUUGGGAUUCAUCAUUAAGAACUGAGGCUCAUUGUUGUCAGAAACAAAGCUCCCACCCCCCAGGUUCAACCUUGUGGGAGAACUGUUGAGCAUGAGAAUGUUCUAGACUCAGAGGUACUAAAAUUUGUUACCACAUCAUUGCUUCCUUUCUACAGGACGAAUUGAGGCUUAAACUUUACUGUUAAUGAUACUGGUUCAUUUUAAUGUGCUUGUUGGUAUGUUGCUAUUUUUCAUUUCAUAGCUUUCAAAAAUCAUGCUAAUUGUAUACUUGUCUAGUUUAAGGCUAUUUUAAAAUAUGUACAAUACUAUUCACAGCAUUUAGUUCAUUUAAUUUUUAUUAUUAUAAAGCAAUCUACUAAAAAAGUACAACUGUAUUUGAACUUUUCAAUAGUUGUUUGUGAGCUAUGAUAAUCAAAAGUCAUUAAAGUCUUUUUUAACAAACAUUCGUGCUUACUUUUCAACAUAAUUCCCAGUUAUAUACAGAAAAAGAUUUCCACCUGUCACGUAUCUGCCUCUUUUACCUGAGCAAUGGUGUAGUUCUUAGACCUAAGGUCUGUAAUUGCAAUACUUUUAAAGAAAGAUGUUGCUCUAAGUGCUGUUUGUUAGUUAUGAAAUCAGAUUUUUCUGCUUGUUCUUAAUGCUGUGGUCAAACCAUAGCACAAAAUCAUUAAAAAUAAUCAGCGGCAUAC
Molecule: small RNA, 8085 nt
Filed under: Pan troglodytes (chimpanzee)
Lineage: Eukaryota; Metazoa; Chordata; Mammalia; Primates; Hominidae
Description: retained intron
Source: RNAcentral